UGCCAGCAGCCGCGGUAAUACGUAGGGUGCGAGCGUUAAUCGGAAUUACUGGGCGUAAGGCGUGCGCAGGCGGUGAUGUAAGACCGAUGUGAAAUCCCCGGGCUCAACCUGGGAACUGCAUUGGUGACUGCAUUGCUCGAGUAUGGCAGAGGGGGGUGGAAUUCCACGUGUAGCAGUGAAAUGCGUAGAGAUGUGGAGGAACACCGAUGGCGAAGGCAGCCCCCUGGGCCAAUACUGACGCUCAUGCACGAAAGCGUGGGGAGCAAACAGGAUUAGAUACCCUGGUAGUCC
This 291-nucleotide ribosomal RNA is filed under the name uncultured bacterium. RNAcentral's name for it is "partial 16S ribosomal RNA". It matches the Rfam family "Bacterial small subunit ribosomal RNA", at positions 506 to 796 of the family's 1533-position model. The record is from RNAcentral.